AGAGUUUGAUCAUGGCUCAGGACGAACGCUGGCGGCGCGCUUAACACAUGCAAGUCGAGCGAGAACCAGGACUUCGGUCCUGGGGAAAGCGGCGAACGGGUGAGUAACACGUGAGUAAUCUGCCCUCAGCACCGGAAUAGCCCGGGGAAACUCGGAUUAAUGCCGGAUAGCCCGCCCUCCCCUCGGGGAGAUCGGAAAAGGUAGCUUUGGCCUCUGACUGAGGAUGAGCUCGCGGCGGAUUAGCUUGUUGGCGGGGUAAUGGCCCACCAAGGCGACGAUCCGUAGCUGGUCUGAGAGGACGAUCAGCCACACUGGGACUGAGACACGGCCCAGACUCCUACGGGAGGCAGCAGUGGGGAAUCUUGCGCAAUGGGCGAAAGCCUGACGCAGCGACGCCGCGUGCGGGAGGAAGGCCUUAGGGUUGUAAACCGCUUUCAGGAGGGACGAAGCCACUCGGGUUAAUAGCCCAGAGGGUGACGGUACCUCCAGAAGAAGCCCCGGCUAACUACGUGCCAGCAGCCGCGGUAAUACGUAGGGGGCAAGCGUUGUCCGGAUUUAUUGGGCGUAAAGCGCGUGUAGGUGGCCAAGUAGGUCCGCUGUGAAAACUUGAGGCUCAACCUCAAGCUGUCGGUGGAAACCCCUUGGCUAGAGUCCGGAAGAGGAGAGUGGAAUUCCUGGUGUAGCGGUGAAAUGCGCAGAUAUCAGGAAGAACACCAAUGGCGAAGGCAGCUCUCUGGGACGGUACUGACACUGAGACGCGAAAGCGUGGGGAGCGAACAGGAUUAGAUACCCUAGUAGUCC
Molecule: ribosomal RNA, 801 nt
Filed under: uncultured bacterium
Lineage: Bacteria
Description: bacterial SSU rRNA
Rfam family: Bacterial small subunit ribosomal RNA
Source: RNAcentral